UACAGAGGGGGCAAGCGUUGUUCGGAAUUACUGGGCGUAAAGGGCGCGUAGGCGGCCUGCUAAGUCGGACGUGAAAUCCCUGGGCUCAACCCAGGAACUGCGUCCGAUACUGGUUGGCUUGAAUCCGGGAGAGGGACGUGGAAUUCCAGGUGUAGCGGUGAAAUGCGUAGAUAUCUGGAGGAACACCGGUGGCGAAGGCGACGUCCUGGACCGGUAUUGACGCUGAGGCGCGAAAGCCAGGGGAGCAAACGGG
Molecule: ribosomal RNA, 253 nt
Filed under: uncultured bacterium
Lineage: Bacteria
Description: partial 16S ribosomal RNA
Rfam family: Bacterial small subunit ribosomal RNA
Source: RNAcentral